CAGAUUGAACGCUGGCGGCAGGCCUAACACAUGCAAGUCGAGCGGUAGAGAGGUGCUUGCAUCUCUUGAGAGCGGCGGACGGGUGAGUAAUGCCUAGGAAUCUGCCUAGUGGUGGGGGAUAACGUUCGGAAACGGACGCUAAUACCGCAUACGUCCUACGGGAGAAAGCGGGGGACCUUCGGGCCUCGCGCCAUUAGAUGAGCCUAGGUCGGAUUAGCUAGUUGGUGAGGUAAUGGCUCACCAAGGCGACGAUCCGUAACUGGUCUGAGAGGAUGAUCAGUCACACUGGAACUGAGACACGGUCCAGACUCCUACGGGAGGCAGCAGUGGGGAAUAUUGGACAAUGGGGCG
This 351-nucleotide ribosomal RNA is filed under the name uncultured soil bacterium. RNAcentral describes it as "bacterial SSU rRNA". It matches the Rfam family "Bacterial small subunit ribosomal RNA", at positions 25 to 378 of the family's 1533-position model. The record is from RNAcentral.